AUAAACUCGUAAUUACUCCUGCUCGGGUUUGAGUUACAGCAGAGAGACUCGCCCACCGUCUCACAGACCACCCCCUCACAGUAUUCAGCACAGAAGCGGUCGAAAGUGGACAAAAGAGACGGAUUUAAAUACCAGGUGUAAACGUAAUGUGUCUCUCUCGUCCACUUGUGAUCCGAUCGAUGAAAACACAUUUUAAUACCAAGUGUAAACAGCCCCUUACAGUAUAGAAUGAAGUUGACUUAUUUCAACUUUAUUUCAUAAGUUCAACUUUUAUUUCACAACUCGUCUCUUGUCAAGAUAAAUAAUAGUAGGCUAAGUUAAAAUUACUUAUAAAUCCGAGUUGAUUAAACCAAAAAUUUUAAGGCAGCAAAGUUUUUUACAGUGCACUGUGCAAAUGUUAAACAUUUGCUUCUCAGGGAAAAGACAUACAGUAAAAAAUGUAUACUUUGAAUGCACCAUCACUUAAAAUGUCAGCCAUAUAAAUAAAUGUUAUAUUAUUAAGUUAACUGCAUGUUUUGUGUAUCUGGUAGUUUAAAUAGCCUACUUAUCUUUAAAUUGCUAAAAUAAGUUUUUCUUUAUAAUUUUUUAUACAGAAUUCAUUGAGCUCCAUAGUCACAGGUUUAUUUUUGCUGUGUUAACUGCAGGCACAGUCCCAAGACCAAAAACCAAAACAAGUUUCACAGCUCCCAUAAGCUUCUGUGUAAAGAAGAUCCUCUGUUCAUAUUCUUUGGCAGAAAAACGUGGACAGCCCUUGUUUACAACAAUGCAACAAUAUCAACAUAGACAUCGACAACUGACAUAUCGAACAUCUAUUUAAACUGUCAAGAUGUUGAAUAUAUGAUGACAACAGAAGGCUUAUUUUGCACGAGGUUCACUUACUGCCUUUAAAGGAGAUCUUCACACAGACAGACAGGAACCCAAUGCUGAGAAACUUUUUGUCACAGUGCAAACUCAUAGUGAGUAACAUUCACACAUUUACAUCUCAGGAGAACGAGCAGCAAACGCCUGCCGCAUUUGAAGUAGGAAACUGAGAAACCUCAAGCGAAGUCUCUGCCGUGGACUGAAACUUGUGUCUCAUUGUAAGUUGAAUGAGUGAAAAUGCCGUUGAAACCUCAGACUUCAUCUCUGUACUCCAUCAGCUGCUGAGUCAACAGUGUUUGUGUAGUCAUCCGAGUGCCGAACAACUCAAAUGAGACGCAUCGAAAGUGGAUUCCUGACUAAGAUUGUUAACUGAAAAUUUAACAGCAUAACAGAGACAUUUAAACUUUGUUUCUUUGCACAUUGUUAUAUCUCACAGUAUAAUGUAUCUGUAUAAAUCAGACAUAGGCCUACCUUAGAUAUCAAAGAUAUUUCUCCACUGCUGUCCCAUAACUUUGGCUCAAAAUCCAGAGAAAUGUCACAUUUGUGUCAUGCAUUUUUCAGUUGGUGGUUGUUUUAUCUCAGUCAUUACUAAAACAUCAUUACAGGCUGUUACACAUAAAAGUACAUCAAAACCAAAAUAAAGUG
Non-coding RNA from Misgurnus anguillicaudatus (oriental weatherfish), 1506 nucleotides. NCBI's taxonomy places the organism in Eukaryota, Metazoa, Chordata, Actinopteri, Cypriniformes, Cobitidae. The record is from RefSeq and is a predicted model, not a curated record.